This 254-nucleotide ribosomal RNA is filed under the name uncultured bacterium. RNAcentral describes it as "partial 16S ribosomal RNA". It matches the Rfam family "Bacterial small subunit ribosomal RNA", at positions 524 to 776 of the family's 1533-position model. The record is from RNAcentral.
UACGUAGGGUGCGAGCGUUGUCCGGAAUUAUUGGGCGUAAAGAGCUCGUAGGCGGUGUGUCGCGUCGGCCGUGAAAACCUGCAGCUUAACUGUGGGCUUGCGGUCGAUACGGGCAUCACUGGAGUUCGGCAGGGGAGACUGGAAUUCCUGGUGUAGCGGUGAAAUGCGCAGAUAUCAGGAGGAACACCGGUGGCGAAGGCGGGUCUCUGGGCCGACACUGACGCUGAGGCGCGAAAGCUAGGGGAGCAAACGGG